GGGGGCCCGCACAAGCGGAGGAACAUGUGGUUUAAUUCGAUGAUACGCGAGGAACCUUACCUGGACUUAAAUGUAGAUUGACCGGUUUAGAAAUAGAUCUUUCCUUCGGGACAAUUUACAAGGUGCUGCAUGGUUGUCGUCAGCUCGUGCCGUGAGGUGUCGGGUUAAGUCCCAUAACGAGCGCAACCCCUAUCGUUAGUUGCUAGCAGGUAAUGCUGAGGACUCUAGCGAGACUGCCACCGUAAGGUGAGAGGAAGGUGGGGAUGACGUCAAAUCAGCACGGCCCUUACGUCCAGGGCUACACACGUGUUACAAUGGCAGGUACAAAGGGCAGCUACAUAGCGAUAUGAUGCUAAUCUCAAAAGCCUGUCACAGUUCGGAUUGGAGUCUGCAACUCGACUCCAUGAAGU
This 410-nucleotide ribosomal RNA is filed under the name Photobacterium chitinilyticum. Its description in RNAcentral is "bacterial SSU rRNA". It matches the Rfam family "Bacterial small subunit ribosomal RNA", at positions 915 to 1326 of the family's 1533-position model. Lineage: Bacteria; Pseudomonadati; Pseudomonadota; Gammaproteobacteria; Vibrionales; Vibrionaceae. The record is from RNAcentral.